GCUGUCAGCACAGAGCCCGAUGUGGGGCUUGAACUCAAAAACCGCGAGAUCAUGACCUGAGCUGAAGCCAGACAGUUAACCAACUGAGCCACCCAGGUGCCCCUCCUCUUAGUUUUAAAUGUUCCUAUCACUAAUUGAUUUUUUACUCAGUUCUCCAACAAAAGAGGAAAAUGGUCAAGCAUAAAAAAAUUUUUCUUACUUUUUUUUUCUUUCCAUUUGUCUCCUUCUUUCUUAUUUUCUUUUUUUUUUCUCUCUCUGCCUUCCUCCCACCCCCUCCCUUUUCUCCUAUAGUGAUUCAUCUUAAGCUUCAGUCUGGAUUGAUUGCUCCUGGAGUUUCCUGUGCAGCAGUCAUUCUAAAUUUUAAGUUCACUAUGAUUCUGGGAAUUUGUUUUUUCUCUCCUUUGUUGGAUUCUUUAUUUCCAAGGUCUAACAUCUUCCUCUUUUUUUUUUUUUUUUUUUUGGUUUAUUUUUUCCAACAGUUUCUGGAAGAGGAGAGACCAUUGGGAGAUAAAUUUGCAUGUCUGAAAGUGUAUUUAUUCUAUUUCACAUUUGAUUAAUAAUUGGACUGGUGUGGACUUCUGGUUGAGGAGGAAGCGGAGAUAAAACAGAGUAGACAAAACAUAUGCCUUAUUGGAAUUCCAGAGAAAUGAAGAGUUAAGAAAUGACUGCAUUUUAGAGGUUGCUCUUUCCACAUUGUAUCAACUUUACUGGUGGCAUUGUACUCCGGUCAGCUCGGAACCACACAAGGCUUUGGUUUUCUUGCUGGUAACUGUGCUGGUGUUUUGUGCUUAGAUGCCACAAGGUGUAACUCUUUUUCAGGAGUUUCUGCUUACUCCGCCAGUGAAGUCUUCCUCCGUACCAUAGCUGGCCUCUUACAGCCAGUGGGCUCAGCAAACCUUUUUAUGCCUGGGCCAGAGAGUGAACUUCUCUUUCCAACUGUCAGAAUAUUUCAAGUGCAGGAUAGUCAGACGAAAUCAUGAAUUUGUUUCACCUCUCGGGAGAAGUAGCUGUUUCGGCUGCCAUUAACAUUCUUGAAACACUUUGGAUUGUAGAUCAGCUUUGUUUAUUUGCAUCAAAUAAAUCACUAGUGUUUUCAUUAAAACAUAUCUUCUAAGUGUUUUCAGUGCACUUCUUAAGUAACAGAUCUGCGGAUGGUAAUUAUGUUCUAAAAAUAAUCCAGAUCUUGUGAACUAUGUCAAGUAGGUGAACUGUUAUUUUUAAUAUAUCAAAGUAUGAACCAACAAAAUCAAUGAUGUGUUAUUUUUGCCCCAUUUAAUUGAUUAGACAGUGUCUUAAACUAUCUUACCAUAGAUAUAUUUAGCGAAAUUUAUUACUUGCAGACUGAUAUAACUCAUGAAUUAUUAAAAGCAUCAGCAUAUGGAACCCACUCUUCCCUCAUUCCAAAUUCUUUUAAUAUGGCUUAUGUUGAGCCAUUUAACUGGCUUCUAUCCAUCCCACCGAUGGAAGCUGCAGCCAGAUGAGGAGUCUUAUAAAUGAUUGGCUUCCUUUCCAAGCAAAAGGAGGAUGAAAUGUCAGCUUUUUCCUCCACUACCUGAAAAGCAAUCAGUGGCAACCUUUCCUGGCCUUCUUGACAGUAGUUUGGCUCUAUAGAAGAGGGUGGGCAUUUAGCCAAAUGUGAAUUUCAGUGCUGUAUCAAGAAAAAAGUAGCUAAAACUCAGAUAAUAGCUGGAAUUUGCAGAGAGGCAUUCAGAUGGGUCUAACCUGUGAGUCUUCAGGAAGCUAACCAUAGCUCAGAAAUUCCUGAAGUGCUCAUUUGAAUCCCUUCUUUCCUAGCGAUGAGCUGAGUGACCAGAGGUUACCUACCAAAUCUGUCUUCCCGGCUGUGUGCGCUCCUCUGUAGGACUGGGUUGAGGGGUACCAACAGCUUCAGAAUAGUGUAGCAUGGUGACUGAUUACCGACGACAAAUCAAGACCACUGAAAAGGACUCCAAGGAAUCAAACCUUGGAGUUCAAGACCAUUUAUUAACUCGAACUUAUGCUUUGAAAUUUGUUAUCUGUAAAAUGGGGAUAUUACUUAUUUCACAGGAUUAUUAUGAAAUCUUAAAUAGUAUAUGUGGAAGCAUUUUGUAAGUGGUGUGGGACUAUAAAAAGUAAAGGGUUGUUAACAUAAGGCUGCUAGUAUAAUGCUUUAUCACAUGGAACAAA
Molecule: long non-coding RNA, 2166 nt
Organism: Felis catus (domestic cat)
Lineage: Eukaryota; Metazoa; Chordata; Mammalia; Carnivora; Felidae
Exons: 2
Source: RefSeq, a predicted model, not a curated record